AAGUCGUAACAAGGUCUCCGUUGGUGAACCAGCGGAGGGAUCAUUACUGAGUUGCAAAACUCCCAAAACCACUGUGAACCUACCACUGUUGCUUCGGCGGAUCCGCCCCGGGCGCCCCUCUUAGGGGGUGUGCCCCGGAACCAGGCGCCCGCCGGGGGACCGAAACCUCUGUAUUUUCAGUUGAGUUACUCUGAGUGUGAUUUCUAAAAUCAAAAUUAAAACUUUCAACAACGGAUCUCUUGGCUCUA
RNAcentral lists this unclassified non-coding RNA (248 nucleotides) under Gliomastix masseei. RNAcentral's name for it is "partial internal transcribed spacer region". The stretch from base 1 to 46 matches the Rfam family "Eukaryotic small subunit ribosomal RNA", at positions 1786 to 1831 of the family's 1831-position model. The record is from RNAcentral. Lineage: Eukaryota; Fungi; Ascomycota; Sordariomycetes; Hypocreales; Bionectriaceae.